RNAcentral lists this ribosomal RNA (2189 nucleotides) under Termitomyces sp. MTP_Od128. Its description in RNAcentral is "bacterial LSU rRNA". It matches the Rfam family "Archaeal large subunit ribosomal RNA", at positions 1 to 2239 of the family's 2987-position model. Lineage: Eukaryota; Fungi; Basidiomycota; Agaricomycetes; Agaricales; Lyophyllaceae. The record is from RNAcentral.
CGAAUGGUGUUACGCCAACAGGUGGAUGGCUCGGCUCAAGAGCUGAUGAAGGACGUGCUAAGCUGCGAUAAGCUCAGGGUAGACGCAAGGAAUCUAUGAACCUGAGAUCUCCUAAUGGGAAUCCCGCUGCCCGCGAGGGCAGCGAUCAGUCAUGAUCGGUAACGCCCCGAAUUGAAACAUCUUAGUAGGGGCAGGAAAAGAAAUCAAAUGAGAUGCCGUUAGUAAAGGCGAUUGAAACCGGCAGUGUUCAAACUGAAUCCGCUAUAGGAAUAUUGCGGAGAUGUGGUUUACGGCUGACUCUUUUUUUCCUCUGUCACUUAAUCAAACUUGCCUGAAACGGCAGACCAUAGAGUGUGAUAGUCACGUCGAUGACGGUGAACGGAAAAAAUGUCAUGUCCUGAGUAGUGCGGGUCGGAAAUCUCGCACGAAUAUGGGGGUCACCAAUCUCCAAAACUAAAUACUCCUUGAGUCCGAUAGCGAAUUAGUAGGGUGACCGAACGCUGAAAAGUACCCCGAGAAGGGAGGUAAAAAGUGCCUGAAACCUGUUGGUUAUAGAACGAUGGUGCGCGCAAGGAUCUUUCUUGUGAAGGAAGAAACCGCGAGGUUUUUGUACGAAUAAGAUUGCCGGCGUUCCAUCUUAAGUUUUGAAGAACUGGCCAGGGAGUUUAUCUUGGUGGCGACGGCUAACUGUUCUCACAGGCAGCCAAAGCGAAAGCAACAGGUGCGCAGCCCUUCGGGCGAGGCACGGCGUAUACAAGUGCGCGGAGUCACCGGGAUAAGACCCGAAGCCGGGCGAUCUAGGCGUGGGCAGGUUGAAGCGUGGCGAAAGCUGCGUGGAGGACCGCAAGUGGUAUUGAUCUGCAAAUCAUUCACGUGACCCACGUCUCGGAGUGAAAUGCUAAUCUAGCCCGGCAUCCGCUGGUUCCCUCCGAAACAUGUCGCAGCAUGACCUGACCUGAGGUCGUUGGUGGAGUAGAGCACUGAUUGGGGAAUCCGGGGAAGAAAUUCUUCGCUCUUCUGUCAAACUCCAAACCCACCCACACCGUCGACGGUCGGAGUCCGCACUGCUGGGGUAAGCUUGUAGUGCGUAAGGGAGACAACCCUGCCCGUGGUUAAGGUCCCAAAGUGUCGGCUAAGUGUAAACACUAAAGGGCGUCCCAAGCCCAAAACAGCUGGAAGGUUAGCUUAGAAGCAGCUAUCCUUUAAAGAGUUCGUAACAGACCACCAGUCGAGGUUUGGGGCCCCGAAAAUUGACGGGGCUCAAGCCGACCACCGAUACCACGGAGUACCGUAUAGGUAAUCUCGUAGGAGGGCGUUGCGUUCGGGCAGAAGCAGGGCUGUGAAGUCCUGUGGACCGUUCGCAAACGAAAAUCCUGGUAAUAGUAGCAGCAUAGUCAAGUGAAAAUCUUGACCGCCGAAGGGGCCAGGUUUCCUCGGCAAUGAUCAUCAGCCGAGGGUUAGUCGGUCCUAAGAUGUACCGUAACUCGAGUACAUCGAAUCAGGGAAACAGGUUAAUAUUCCUGUACCGUUUCGACAAUCAUCCUGACGCUUCAGGGCAGACCGAGCGGCGUCGUCGCGCCGUUUAAUCAUCGAAAUUUGUGGAGAGCCGUAAUGGCGAGAAGCGAAUGAAUAUGUUAUGACGCAAGUCGGUUGCACCCCGGAGCCCGUGAAAAGGGGUCGAAUACGUCCGUACCAAGAUCUGACACAGGUGCCCCUAGCUGAAAAGGCUAAGGCGUGACGGAGUAAUUCAGUUUAGGGAAUUCGGCAAAUUAGCUCCGUAACUUCGGGAGAAGGAGUGCCUGCUGUGAAGACAGCAGGUCGCAGUGACCAGGGGGCUCCAACUGUCUAAUACCAACAUAGGAGAUCGCAAAUCCGUAAGGAUGAGUACGAUCUCUGAAUCCUGCUCAGUGCAGGUACCUCAAACCCCGGUUCAACGGGACGAAGGGCCUGUAAACAGCGGGGGUAACGAUGACCCUCUUAAGGUAGCGUAGUACCUUGUCGCUUAAUUGGCGACUUGCAUGAAUGGAUCAAUGAGAGCCCUACUGUCCCAAACUGGAAUCCGGUGAAGCUUACAUUCUAGUGCACAGUCUAGAGACCUCUAGGGGGAAGUGAAGACCCCAUGGAGCUUUACUGCAGCCUGUCGUUGAGUUGUGAUUUCGAAUGUACAGUGUAGGUAGGAGACGUCGAAG